RNAcentral lists this ribosomal RNA (1351 nucleotides) under uncultured bacterium. RNAcentral's name for it is "bacterial SSU rRNA". It matches the Rfam family "Bacterial small subunit ribosomal RNA". The record is from RNAcentral.
UCCUAGUGAUUAGAGUUUGAUCAUGGCUCAGAACGUACGCUGGCGGCACGCCUAACACAUGCAAGUCGAACGAAGUAGCAAUACUUAGUGGCAGACGGGUGAGUAACAUGUAGGUAUCUGCCCUUUGGCCUGGAAUAACACGAGGAAACUUGUGCUAAUACCGGAUAAGUCUUUACGGAGAAAGCUUUAUGCACCAUUGGAUGAGCCUGCACUUGAUUAGUUUGUUGGUGGGGUAAUGGCCUACCAAGACUGUGAUCAAUAGCUGAUUUGAGAGGAUGAUCAGCCACAUUGGGACUGAGACACGGCCCAAACUCCUACGGGAGGCAGCAGUGGGGAAUCUUGCACAAUGGAGGAAACUCUGAUGCAGCGAUGCCGCGUGAGUGAAGAAGGCCCUUGGGUUGUAAAGCUCUUUCGUCGGGGAAGAAAAUGACUGUACCCGAAUAAGAAGGUCCGGCUAACUUCGUGCCAGCAGCCGCGGUAAUACGAAGGGACCUAGCGUAGUUCGGAAUUACUGGGCUUAAAGAGUUCGUAGGUGGUUGAAAAAGUUGGUGGUGAAAUCCCAGAGCUUAACUCUGGAACUGCCAUCAAAACUUUUCAGCUAGAAUUUGAUAGAGGAAAGCAGAAUUUCUAGUGUAGAGGUGAAAUUCGUAGAUAUUAGAAAGAAUACCAAUUGCGAAGGCAGCUUUCUGGAUCAUUACUGACACUGAGGAACGAAAGCAUGGGUAGCGAAGAGGAUUAGAUACCCUCGUAGUCCAUGCCGUAAACGAUGUGUGUUAGACGUUGGAAAUUUAUUUUCAGUGUCGCAGCGAAAGCGAUAAACACACCGCCUGGGGAGUACGACCGCAAGGUUAAAACUCAAAUGAAUUGACGGGGACCCGCACAAGUAGUGGAGCAUGUGGUUUAAUUCGAAGAUACGCGCAGAACCUUACCAACACUUGACAUGUUCGUCGCGACUUUAAGAGAUUAAAGUUUUCGGUUCGGCCGGACGAAACACAGGUGCUGCAUGGCUGUCGUCAGCUCGUGUCGUGAGAUGUUGGGUUAAGUCCCGCAACGAGCGCAACCCUCACUUUUAGUUGCCAUCAUUAAGUUGGGCACUCUGAAAGAACUGCCAGUGAUAAGCUGGAGGAAGGUGGGGAUGACGUCAAGUCCUCAUGGCCCUUACGUGUUGGGCUACACACGUGCUACAAUGGUAUCUACAACAGGAAGCAAGACGGCGACGUUUAGCAAAUCCUUAAAAGAUACCUCAGUUCGGAUUGCACUCUGCAACUCGAGUGCAUGAAGCUGGAAUUACUAGUAAUCGUGGAUCAGCGUGCCACGGUGAAUGCGUUCCCGGGUCUUGUACACACCGCCC